AUCACUAAUGACAGUAAUUAAGCAUUAAGGCCAAACAAUAAUUAAAUGCUAAAGGUCAUUAGGGUUAAUGACCUCAGGUCAUCACACAAUCCCAAAAUCACUCAACCCUAAUUAUGAGGAUUUAACUAAUCACUAUCUAAUUAUCUUGGAUUUAUUACUUAAUUACUAAAUAAGGGUUUAUUAAUAUUUUAUUCAAACAUUAUCCAAAUGCAACCAAGUUUUGUGUGAAGCCUGGAAAUAAUAUUCAGAGACUCCCCACAAAGUUUGGUGAUUUUUGGACAUACAGAUAAAUUAUUAAAAUUCGUAGAAGUUUUAUUUACUAAUUAAAAGAGCAAAUUUUUAUACACUUGCAAACUAUCAGAAAACAGAACCUAAUAGUUUUCUUGGGUUCUACAUAUUUCAGGGAGUCUAUACAAAAAUUUUCAUCAUUUUUGGAUCACCACACAAUUUAUUACUCAAUUUCAAACAUCAACCAUUUUUAAACAAAAAGGAAAAAGAAAAAAAAGUGCACUAUGCUGCACUGGCGGCCUGCUUGGACCCGGCCCA
Molecule: long non-coding RNA, 546 nt
Filed under: Sorghum bicolor (sorghum)
Lineage: Eukaryota; Viridiplantae; Streptophyta; Magnoliopsida; Poales; Poaceae
Description: long non-coding RNA (SBIC_LNC014341)
Source: RNAcentral